CGGGUGAGUAACACGUGGAUGACCUACCCCUUGCGGGGGACAACAUCUGGAAACGGAUGCUAAUACCGCAUAAGUCAGCUCUAUAGACGAGUUGGGAAAGGUGGCUUCGGCUAUCACCAGGGGAUGGGUCCGCGUCCCAUCAGUUAGUUGGUAGGGUAAUGGCCUACCAAGGCGACGACGGGUAGCUGGUCUGAGAGGAUGAUCAGUCACACUGGAACUGAGACACGGUCCAG
Molecule: ribosomal RNA, 233 nt
Filed under: uncultured bacterium
Lineage: Bacteria
Description: partial 16S ribosomal RNA
Rfam family: Bacterial small subunit ribosomal RNA
Source: RNAcentral